UGAAACUUAAAGGAAUUGACGGAAGGGCACCACCAGGAGUGGAGCCUGCGGCUUAAUUUGACUCAACACGGGGAAUCUCACCCGGCCCGGACACCGUGAGGAUUGACAGAUUGAGAGCUCUUUCUUGAUUCGGUGGAUGGUGGUGCAUGGCCGUUCUUAGUUGGUGGAGCGAUUUGUCUGGUUAAUUCCGAUAACGAACGAGACUCUAGCCUAUUAAAUAGUUCGCCGCCUCGCCAAUGGGUAGCGGUGCCAACUUCUUAGAGGGACUAGCGGCGCUCAGCCGCACGAGAAGGAGCAAUAACAGGUCUGUGAUGCCCUUAGAUGUUCGGGGCCGCACGCGCGCUACACUGAUAGAGACAGAGGGUCGAGUACCUGUCGGACACGGCCGGUCAACCCGUGCAGAACCUCUAUCGUGCUAGGGAUUGGGGCUUGAAAUUCUUCCCCAUGAACGAGGAAUUCCCAGUAAGCGCAAGUCAUCAGCUUGUGUUGAUUACGUCCCUGCCCUUUGUACACACCGCCCGUCGCUACUACCGAUUGAAUGGUUUAGUGAGGCCCUCGGACGUUCCCCGGGCUGGGCUUCGGCCCGGUCGUCAGGCGCGUGGCGAAAGAUGGUCGAACUUGAUCAUUUAGAGGAAGUAAAAGUCGUAACAAGGUUUCCGUAG
RNAcentral lists this ribosomal RNA (662 nucleotides) under Branchiosyllis exilis. RNAcentral's name for it is "SSU rRNA". It matches the Rfam family "Eukaryotic small subunit ribosomal RNA", at positions 1138 to 1808 of the family's 1831-position model. The record is from RNAcentral. Lineage: Eukaryota; Metazoa; Annelida; Polychaeta; Phyllodocida; Syllidae.